Molecule: long non-coding RNA, 1327 nt
Filed under: Coffea arabica (coffee)
Lineage: Eukaryota; Viridiplantae; Streptophyta; Magnoliopsida; Gentianales; Rubiaceae
Description: long non-coding RNA (CARA_LNC008410)
Source: RNAcentral
GACAGAAAACUUUCUGCAAUUGAGGUACAACUAGUUUCAAAGACAAAAAGCCAGGGAAAAAAUUAAGCAAAUUUAUAGUAAUAUGGCAGGUAAAUUCUUACUGCUGGACCUCGUGACUGAAAAGGCAGAUAGACAAUGUGCAAGCUCCGACAACAAGGAUAUCAAGUGUUGGCUAUAUAAGGCACCAAUACGAAAGAAAAAUUGCCAUCAUAAAUAUUUUUGUCCAAGCUACUGGCCUUGUAAUUCAAUGAGUAAUUAAUGGCCAAUGGAGAUUUCCACUUAAACCUUGAGCCUAAGAUCACUGCAAAAUAGAAAAUUCAAGCUCAGACAUUAUGUAGUAAACAAGAGAUCUAACAAAACAAUUUAGAUAAUUUCGUGAAGCUAUUGUUCUGUCAAUCCUACAAAAACAAAGUGUGGAACAGAAUAUUAACAGAGUUAUAGUAAUACAUCAAAGCACAGAACAGGAUAGGUGCUUGGUUUCAUGUUAAUCGACGGUUACAAGAGUAUUAUGUUGUUAGGAGCAAAUGAGAAGCACGGUAUUUUGCACUUGACAAGAAAUGCCAAUGCCGCAGCUUUGAAAGAUAAUAAAUAGGACGAGAAAAAGGAAGAAGAGAAAAUUGUGAAGAAUAACCACGGGAACUUUUUAGUUUUUUUCAUAUAAUUCCCCCACACUUAAAUCAUUGCUUGUCCUCGAGCAAUAAAAAAUACAAACCAGCAAUAAUUUAAGAAGUGAAAUGAAUCAAGUGAACUUGAAACUCAAUCUCUCUUAACUUUGGCAAGCUUUGAUUAUGCAAUUUUUUCCUAUUAACCGUAAUACUCAUCAUAUCAUGUAAAAGAGAGAUAAUUACACUCAAAAUUCAACCAAACAAAUUUAAUCUCUCUAUCUUACCUAAUUUCACAAAUAACUAACAUAUAUAGUUACCUUGGAGAUUUUCUUCCUUCUAAAUGAGAUGUUUAGCUUCACAAACCUUAAGAGGGAACUAUUCACUUUCUUUUUUCUUUUAUUUACUCUUAAAAUUGUGAAAAUGCCUUUUGACGAAGAUUGAUAUUUUUAGAUGAAGAUUUCCGGUUACUCAAAACUUCACUUAUUACUCCCAAUUCCAAUACCUUUUGACGCGAAAGUCGAUAUUUGUAGAUAAAACUCUCGGUUACUCAGUAUAAGAAUUUAUUGAAUUUUUUUACCAUAAAAUCCCUCAAUAAGGUCACAUUUGGAAGAAAAAUAUUCUAGCAACUAUAUAAAUCAAUUACUUGUAAAAAUAAGUAAGAUGAGAGAUUUCAUUUACUAUGCAAAAUGUAGGCAUAAUUUUCUUUAUUUUACAAUAUAUAC